GACGAACGCUGGCGGCGUGCUUAACACAUGCAAGUCGAACGGAAAGGCCCUGCUUUUGUGGGGUGCUCGAGUGACGAACGGGUGAGUAACACGUGAGUAACCUGCCCUUGACUUUGGGAUAACUUCAGGAAACUGGGGCUAAUACCGGAUAGGAGCUCCUGCUGCAUGGUGGGGGUUGGAAAGUUUCGGCGGUUGGGGAUGGACUCGCGGCUUAUCAGCUUGUUGGUGGGGUAGUGGCUUACCAAGGCUUUGACGGGUAGCAGGCCUGAGAGGGUGACCGGCGCCGUUGUGAUUGAGAUGCGGCGCAGUUUCUGCGGGGAGGCAGUAGAGGGAGCGUUUACCCAAAGGGCGGACGUCGGGUACGCAAUCGCCGCGAGGGGAAUAGCGUCCUUAGGGUGUGAACCUGUUUUUACCGUAUGCGAAGCGGAGGUGGCGAUAAGGAGUAAGCAAUCACCGGUUAAGGUUGG
This 467-nucleotide ribosomal RNA is filed under the name uncultured bacterium. RNAcentral's name for it is "partial 16S ribosomal RNA". It matches the Rfam family "Bacterial small subunit ribosomal RNA", at positions 28 to 506 of the family's 1533-position model. The record is from RNAcentral.